RNAcentral lists this ribosomal RNA (1420 nucleotides) under uncultured organism. RNAcentral describes it as "16S ribosomal RNA". It matches the Rfam family "Bacterial small subunit ribosomal RNA". The record is from RNAcentral.
GAUGAACGCUAGCUACAGGCUUAACACAUGCAAGUCGAGGGGUAUCAGGAAGAAAGCUUGCUUUCUUUGCUGGCGACCGGCGCACGGGUGGGUAACACGUAUCCAACCUGCCCUUUACUCGGGGAUAGCCUUUCGAAAGAAAGAUUAAUACCCGAUAGCAUAAUGAUUCCGCAUGGUUUCAUUAUUAAAGGAUUCCGGUAAAGGAUGGGGAUGCGUUCCAUUAGGUUGUUGGUGAGGUAACGGCCCACCAAGCCUUCGAUGGAUAGGGGUUCUGAGAGGAAGGUCCCCCACAUUGGAACUGAGACACGGUCCAAACUCCUACGGGAGGCAGCAGUGAGGAAUAUUGGUCAAUGGGCGCUAGCCUGAACCAGCCAAGUAGCGUGAAGGAUGAAGGCUCUAUGGGUCGUAAACUUCUUUUAUAUAAGAAUAAAGUGCAGUAUGUAUACUGUUUUGUAUGUAUUAUAUGAAUAAGGAUCGGCUAACUCCGUGCCAGCAGCCGCGGUAAUACGGAGGAUCCGAGCGUUAUCCGGAUUUAUUGGGUUUAAAGGGAGCGUAGGUGGACUGGUAAGUCAGUUGUGAAAGUUUGCGGCUCAACCGUAAAAUUGCAGUUGAUACUGUCAGUCUUGAGUACAGUAGAGGUGGGCGGAAUUCGUGGUGUAGCGGUGAAAUGCUUAGAUAUCACGAAGAACUCCGAUUGCGAAGGCAGCUCACUGGACUGCAACUGACACUGAUGCUCGAAAGUGUGGGUAUCAAACAGGAUUAGAUACCCUGGUAGUCCACACAGUAAACGAUGAAUACUCGCUGUUUGCGAUAUACAGUAAGCGGCCAAGCGAAAGCAUUAAGUAUUCCACCUGGGGAGUACGCCGGCAACGGUGAAACUCAAAGGAAUUGACGGGGGCCCGCACAAGCGGAGGAACAUGUGGUUUAAUUCGAUGAUACGCGAGGAACCUUACCCGGGCUUAAAUUGCAGUGGAAUGAUGUGGAAACAUGUCAGUGAGCAAUCACCGCUGUGAAGGUGCUGCAUGGUUGUCGUCAGCUCGUGCCGUGAGGUGUCGGCUUAAGUGCCAUAACGAGCGCAACCCUUAUCUUUAGUUACUAACAGGUUAUGCUGAGGACUCUAGAGAGACUGCCGUCGUAAGAUGUGAGGAAGGUGGGGAUGACGUCAAAUCAGCACGGCCCUUACGUCCGGGGCUACACACGUGUUACAAUGGGGGGUACAGAAGGCAGCUAGCGGGUGACCGUAUGCUAAUCCCAAAAGCCUCUCUCAGUUCGGAUCGAAGUCUGCAACCCGACUUCGUGAAGCUGGAUUCGCUAGUAAUCGCGCAUCAGCCACGGCGCGGUGAAUACGUUCCCGGGCCUUGUACACUCCGCCCGUCAAGCCAUGGGAGCCGGGGGUACAUGAAGUACGUAACCGCAAGGA